AACAAGGCGUACCUGCGGACCUGCGGAGGGAUCAUUACACAAUACAAUAUGAAGGCUGUCCGCAGCUGGAGUAUUUUAUUACCCUUGUCUUUUGCGCACUUGUUGUUUCCUGGGCGGGUUCGCUCGCCACCAGGACCACCAAAUAAACCUUUUUUAUGCAGUUGCAAUCAGCGUCAGUACAAACAAUGUAAAUCAUUUACAACUUUUAGCAACGGAUCU
This 219-nucleotide unclassified non-coding RNA is filed under the name soil metagenome. RNAcentral's name for it is "partial contains 5.8S ribosomal RNA, internal transcribed spacer 2, and large subunit ribosomal RNA". The record is from RNAcentral.